GUGACCGGCCGGGCCCGUGAGGGGACAGGAACAGAGGAGAGGGCUCGGGGCGUGUACGGGGACAGGGUUCUAAUUAUGCUGGAGAAUGGAGCUCCCAAGACCAUUUUCCCCUCUGCCCACCAACACCCAAACUGCCCUUUGGAGUGAGUUCCAUCUGGGGUGGAGCCAGUUCUUCAGGCUAACAGAUUUUAAUUCUCCAUGAAUGAAAUUUCAUGUAUUUUGACGAAGUGCUAAACAUCAUGAUGGUUUUAUGACUACUGAAGGCGUAAUUGGAGUAUCACGGGAAGCAGAAGGCUGUGUUAUUAGUCAGCAAUCACACAUACACAUCCAGUUAUAGAAAACAGGCAGCUCAAGCAGCCCUGAUUUUCAGGAGAUCUCAUCAGUGACUGACAGUGGAUGAUGCCAGUGCCCCCUGUACUGCCAGCCCAGUGCAAGGGGAACACUGGGGAUGGCAAAAUGGAAACGGUCUUGGCGACACGGAUAUUUUUGGGCAGUCACAGCUUCCACAGCACUGAGUCACUGCAGCAGAGCAACCUCUAAGGAGUGUCCUCCUUCCACAUCAGCCAGAGGGAAGGCUCUGCCCCUUCCUCCUGCUCUGCCAGCAGUGUGACACAGCUCCAGAAGGGAUAGCCAGUCCAUUUAGGAGUUAUCUCCUACAUAGGCACUGAUCUGCCAGGCGUACCCUUGCAGUGUUGCACUCCAGCUUUAAGCUUUUCAGGUAUUUGGCAGCCUGGAUGUCUUAAAAACCUGAAGGAAAAUGUAAGCUGAGUUUACAGCUGAGCGGGGAAGGGGAAAAAAUAGCACUUAUUGAAGUUCCUAGGGAAGAUGGAAACAGUAAAUGGAAGAUGGAAAGAUUAAGCAGGGCCUCUAGUCUGAUUGUGCCCUUCAACUGCUCCAGGGCCACCUUGGGGAGCAGCCUUCUGUGCCAUGAAUGUCCUGUUCAGCCAGCCCACCAAGACAUCCAGUGGCAUGGCACCUUCCCAGGCUGUGAGAGCUCAGAACCCAGCAGGCAGGACAACCCCAGCUUCCACCUUUGACCCCUG
Ficedula albicollis (Collared flycatcher) is the source of this 1043-nucleotide long non-coding RNA. RefSeq lists it as uncharacterized. The record is from RefSeq and is a predicted model, not a curated record. The transcript is spliced from 5 exons. Lineage: Eukaryota; Metazoa; Chordata; Aves; Passeriformes; Muscicapidae.